CUUUUUUACCACAGUAUAUUUAUCAGCAAGUGAACAUAAAAACGCCUCUUCCAGUCAGAAACUGGCCAAUCCUGACCCCCGGUCCAUCUAGGGCUCCGCCCACCGCCGAGGAUAAGCCAAUCUCUUUGAGGCUUGUACAGGAGAACGCCGUGCGUUUGAGCUUGAACAUGAUAAGCCUGGCAGAAGCCUGAUGAACCCAGAAUGAGUGAGAUGUGGAUCCUGAAGUAGGAAAUCUAUGAAAAAAAUGACAAGACUCUGAAGAAUUAACUCGCCAGGAGGGACUCAACUGGAGGCUUGAAUCUGACCUGGAGACUGAGAACCCUUGAAUAGAUGAAGACAGUAUCUUUUUUUUUUAAAUCUAUUUGUUUGGUUGCUUUUUGGGGACUAAGAAGUUUUUAAAUUGCCCUGAUAUCUACAAGGCUGUCACAGGGAAAGAUGAUGACUGGAGAAUACCUACACUACAGUAGAUAAAAAGGCGGUGGCUUCCUAGGCUGCAGAGAACAAGUCCUUUCUAGCAGUGGCUCAGGACCACUGUUUUGAAAAGUCUAAUUAAUUUGCUUCUCUGACCUUGAUUGCUACCUUUAAAAGAAGCUUUAAAGCCUGCUUGGUCUCCUAAACUUGCCAAGCCCUGCUGCCUGGGUCUAGUCAGCAAUCUUGCUCUGCCCAGACCUCUUACUGUCUGACCACAGGGCUUAGCUAACCCCAUUUGUGUCACACCCCACUGCUAUGCCUCCUUUGGAAAGGCCUAUUUAAGAAGUAGCUCCCUAUAUAAAUGGAAGGACAUUAAAGACUCUUAAUGGAGUAAACACCCAGGAGAUAAGGAAUCAAGGGUGGAGGGGUUGGUCUUGGACAUGGUAAAUGUAGAGAUAGAGACUAUCUAGACAGAAAGGUUAAACUUAAUAGUCUUCAUUCUACAAAGUAUGAUGCAAAUUCCUUUUAAAGAGGAACUGUGAAUUGUAUAGUAUGUGAAUUAUCUUUCAAUAAAGCUAUUUUUAAAAAGCA
This is a non-coding RNA of Macaca mulatta (Rhesus monkey), 1002 nucleotides long. The record is from RefSeq and is a predicted model, not a curated record. NCBI's taxonomy places the organism in Eukaryota, Metazoa, Chordata, Mammalia, Primates, Cercopithecidae.